Long non-coding RNA from Lemur catta (Ring-tailed lemur), 574 nucleotides. RefSeq lists it as uncharacterized. NCBI's taxonomy places the organism in Eukaryota, Metazoa, Chordata, Mammalia, Primates, Lemuridae. The record is from RefSeq and is a predicted model, not a curated record. The transcript has 3 exons.
GUGGGAAGGACGGACAGACAGCUAAGGCCUGCGCUGGAAGCAGAAACUGAGUUCUCCUGGCCUGCAGCGAGGAGACCCGCGUCCUGCCCCCACCCCAGGAAAUUUGCAGUGACUUUGGAGCCCAGACUGAGGAAGCAGAGGUGGCGAAAGGAGAGACAAUACCAGUCCGAAGUACAAUUAAGGGGCCAGAGCUCGUCUCUCCCCCGCCCUCCCUGCCCGACUGCGCGCUGUCUGGCCUCAAACCUCACGGAGACACGCGAACCUGGAGCCGGAAACUCAGCCCGUGGCGGAGGCAGCCAGAGGACUCCGCAUCCAGAAAACAGGAGGAAAGCUCCUUUCCAACUUGGGGGCGCCUUAACCAGCCCCGCUGAGUUGCAGAGAAUCCAAUGAAUGAAAGUGCACAUUCCGACAAAUUUCCCCGAUUUUUCCCCCCAACCUUUGGAAGGAGAGCCCAGUGUUUGAGGCGUCUCAGAUACACAAGCAAACCGCAUCUCCUGAGGCAGACAGACUCACAACAUGAGUGUGAGCCUGGAAUCAUAUACAGGUUCAACAUUCCCAGAGGAGGCCUCUUUGC